RNAcentral lists this ribosomal RNA (557 nucleotides) under uncultured bacterium. RNAcentral describes it as "partial 16S ribosomal RNA". It matches the Rfam family "Bacterial small subunit ribosomal RNA", at positions 355 to 905 of the family's 1533-position model. The record is from RNAcentral.
UGGGGAAUUUUGGACAAUGGGGGAAACCCUGAUCCAGCCAUCCCGCGUGUGCGAUGAAGGCCUUCGGGUUGUAAAGCACUUUUGGCAGGAAAGAAACGUCGCGGGUUAAUACCCCGCGGAACUGACGGUACCUGCAGAAUAAGCACCGGCUAACUACGUGCCAGCAGCCGCGGUAAUACGUAGGGUGCAAGCGUUAAUCGGAAUUACUGGGCGUAAAGCGUGCGCAGGCGGUUCGGAAAGAAAGAUGUGAAAUCCCAGAGCUUAACUUUGGAACUGCAUUUUUAACUACCGGGCUAGAGUGUGUCAGAGGGAGGUGGAAUUCCGCGUGUAGCAGUGAAAUGCGUAGAUAUGCGGAGGAACACCGAUGGCGAAGGCAGCCUCCUGGGAUAACACUGACGCUCAUGCACGAAAGCGUGGGGAGCAAACAGGAUUAGAUACCCUGGUAGUCCACGCCCUAAACGAUGUCAACUAGCUGUUGGGGUCUUCGGACCUUGGUAGCGCAGCUAACGCGUGAAGUUGACCGCCUGGGGAGUACGGUCGCAAGAUUAAAACUCAAA